RNAcentral lists this ribosomal RNA (265 nucleotides) under uncultured prokaryote. Its description in RNAcentral is "partial 16S ribosomal RNA". It matches the Rfam family "Bacterial small subunit ribosomal RNA", at positions 512 to 776 of the family's 1533-position model. The record is from RNAcentral.
CCGCCGCGGUAAUACGGAGGAUCCAAGCGUUAUCCGGAAUCAUUGGGUUUAAAGGGUCCGUAGGCGGCUUUGUAAGUCAGUGGUGAAAUCCGGCAGCUUAACUGUCGAACUGCCAUUGAUACUGCAGGGCUUGAAUUAUUGGGAAGUAACUAGAAUAUGUAGUGUAGCGGUGAAAUGCUUAGAUAUUACAUGGAAUACCGAUUGCGAAGGCAGGUUACUAUCAAUACAUUGACGCUGAUGGACGAAAGCGUGGGUAGCGAACAGG